This 345-nucleotide ribosomal RNA is filed under the name Conraua robusta (Cameroon slippery frog). RNAcentral's name for it is "partial 12S ribosomal RNA". It matches the Rfam family "Bacterial small subunit ribosomal RNA", at positions 870 to 1384 of the family's 1533-position model. Lineage: Eukaryota; Metazoa; Chordata; Amphibia; Anura; Petropedetidae. The record is from RNAcentral.
CGCCAGGGAAUUACGAGCCCAAGCUUAAAACUCAAAGGACUUGACGGUGUCCCACCCAUCUAGAGGAGCCUGUUCUAUAAUCGAUACCCCCCGCUACACCUAACCAUUUCUAGCAAUUCAGCCUGUAUACCUCCGUCGUAAGCCUACCAUAUGAACGCCCUCACAGUAAGCUCAAAGGUCACUCACCAGCACGUCAGGUCAAGGUGCAGCCCAUGAAAUGGCAAGCAAUGGGCUACAGUUUCUAACUUAGAACAAACGAAAGACUACGUGAAAUAUAGUCAUGAAGGCGGAUUUAGUAGUAAAAAGAAAAUAAAGUGUUUUUUUUAACCCGGCCCUGGGACGUGU